This 492-nucleotide ribosomal RNA is filed under the name uncultured bacterium. Its description in RNAcentral is "partial 16S ribosomal RNA". It matches the Rfam family "Bacterial small subunit ribosomal RNA", at positions 29 to 507 of the family's 1533-position model. The record is from RNAcentral.
AGUGAACGCUGGCGGUAGGCCUAACACAUGCAAGUCGAACGGCAGCACAGUAAGAGCUUGCUCUUACGGGUGGCGAGUGGCGGACGGGUGAGGAAUACAUCGGAAUCUACUUUUUCGUGGGGGAUAACGUAGGGAAACUUACGCUAAUACCGCAUACGACCUACGGGUGAAAGCAGUGGAUCUUCGGACCUUGCGCGAUUGAAUGAGCCGAUGUCGGAUUAGCUAGUUGGCGGGGUAAAGGCCCACCAAGGCGACGAUCCGUAGCUGGUCUGAGAGGAUGAUCAGCCACACUGGAACUGAGACACGGUCCAGACUCCUACGGGAGGCAGCAGUGGGGAAUAUUGGACAAAGGGCGCAAGCCUGAUCCAGCCAUACCGCGUGGGUGAAGAAGGCCUUCGGGUUGUAAAGCCCUUUUGUUGGGAAAGAAAAGCAGCAGGUUAAUACCACGCUGUUCUGACGGUACCCAAAGAAUAAGCACCGGCUAACUUCGUG